GGUUUGAUGCUCGAGUGGUUAAUGGGGACGAACUGUAAAUUUGUUGACAAUGUCUACUCUGGUUCAAAUUCAGCUCGGCCCA
This is a non-coding RNA of Triticum aestivum (bread wheat), 82 nucleotides long. Lineage: Eukaryota; Viridiplantae; Streptophyta; Magnoliopsida; Poales; Poaceae. The record is from Rfam.